AGCCUCGUGUGUUUUAGGUGGGGUUGACAGUGCCGUUUCUAAUAAAUUACAGAUUUGUGCAAGUUCAGUGUAAGAGGUACUUCAGGAGAGGUGAAAUCAGGACUGGAAGUGAGAUUUCUUGCUGAUUCUGGAGAGUUUAGCUGUUGCAUCUGCCAUCCAGACACCUGCUUUUAACCACUGAGAACCACAGUCACUGGAAUCAGCAAUGGCUCCUUUGAGGUCUGGAGCACAGGGAAACCAGUCCUGGACCCGCACUUCAUCGAGUCGCACCAGCGCGUGUGCACUUAUAAUGAAACUCGGUUAGAGACGGU
Sinocyclocheilus anshuiensis is the source of this 311-nucleotide long non-coding RNA. RefSeq lists it as uncharacterized. Lineage: Eukaryota; Metazoa; Chordata; Actinopteri; Cypriniformes; Cyprinidae. The transcript is spliced from 3 exons. The record is from RefSeq and is a predicted model, not a curated record.